Molecule: transfer RNA, 76 nt
Filed under: Granulicatella adiacens
Lineage: Bacteria; Bacillati; Bacillota; Bacilli; Lactobacillales; Carnobacteriaceae
Also listed under: 1 other name
Description: tRNA-Arg(acg)
Rfam family: tRNA
About the family: Transfer RNA (tRNA) molecules are approximately 80 nucleotides in length. Their secondary structure includes four short double-helical elements and three loops (D, anti-codon, and T loops).
Source: RNAcentral
UGCACCCAUAGCUCAAUUGGAUAGAGUACUUGACUACGAAUCAAGCGGUUACAGGUUCGACUCCUGUUGGGUGCAU